UGUUACCUUCUGUGGCAAAAGGGACUUGGAAGAUGCAAUUAAGGAUGAGAACCUUGAAUUAGGGAGAUUAUCUUGAAUUUCCAGGUGGAUCCACUCUAAUCAUAUAAGUUCUUAAUGGUAGAAACCCUUUCUGGGCUGUGGUUAGAGAGGUGACACCAGGAGGAAGGUCAGAGAGAAGCAUCGUUUAGGGUUUUGAAGAGAGAGGAAAGGGCUAUGGAAGAUCAAACUAAGGAAUGUAGACAAUCAGCCUCUAGAAGUUGAAAAAGGCAAGGGAAAAGGUUUUUCCUAGAAAGGAAUGCAGACUUUCUGACAUCCUGAUUUUAAUGUAGUGAGUGAGACCUAUUACAUUGUUUUAGGCCACUAAAAUGGGAGUAAUUUGACAGCAUCAGUAGAAAACUAGCACACAUUGGGUCCACAUACACAACCCUAGUGUAAGCUAGAUGAUAGGAAUGGCAUGGGGAGGGGACAACUUUAAGGACUGCCACUUUCCUAGCUAGAAUUCCACUGAAGACACUAACGUGAAUAGCUUUCAAGACCCAUUUUGGAUAUAUCAUUAACAAGUCUGUCUUAGACAAAAGGAGCCCAGAAUCAUGUGGACAUGAUUUGAAUAAAGAAGAUUCACCCAUGAAUUUGAGAGAUAGCAUCAGAGAACAUGAACACAAUGGUGGUGGCCAGAAUGAUAGAUCGUUUCUCACCUCUCGCAGGGCUGCUUUCUGCAUGAAGACACCUCAAGUCUCCUAGCAGUAGUCAAUGAUACUAAUGGAUGUCCGAGCCCAGGGAUGCUAUUCCAGGCCUUGGCAGAAGUGAUGAAAUGCGGGGAAAUAAGUAAAUAUGUGAUUAUGCAAAUAGGUGUGUUGGCAGGCAAUAGGUGCACUCAAAUGCUAAAUUAGACGGCAGCCUAUCCUGAACAUGUAAGGAAUUGGAGAAGUAGUUUGAAGAAAGCUUUGGAAAUUUGAAGAUGCCACUGAGGAAAACAGCAGAUGGAAAUGACUAGAUGGCUAGAUGGUCACACAGAAGAGGAUUCUCAAGAAGUAUCAUAGACUUUGGCCGAAGUUGAAUGCCAUGAAUUUAUAGAGAUACGUGCUUAAACAAUUAUGAAUAUCUAGAGCAGUGAUAAGAAUUGUAAAAUAAAGUAAGAUAGUGGCUGGAGUGUUCA
This 1156-nucleotide long non-coding RNA is filed under the name Vulpes vulpes (red fox). Its description in RNAcentral is "lncRNA (ENSVVUG00000019233.1)". The record is from RNAcentral. Lineage: Eukaryota; Metazoa; Chordata; Mammalia; Carnivora; Canidae.